RNAcentral lists this ribosomal RNA (887 nucleotides) under uncultured archaeon. RNAcentral's name for it is "bacterial SSU rRNA". It matches the Rfam family "Archaeal small subunit ribosomal RNA", at positions 29 to 922 of the family's 1478-position model. The record is from RNAcentral.
GGCCUCGGGAUGGUCUGGAGCCAUGCGAGUCAUUGUAGCAAUACAAGGCAGACGGCUCAGUAACGCGUAGUCAACCUAACCUAUGGACGGGAAUAAUCUCGGGAAACUGAGAAUAAUGCCCGAUAGAACACUAUAUCUGGAAUGGUUUGUGUUCCAAAUGAUUUAUCGCCAUAGGAUGGGACUGCGGCCUAUCAGUUUGUUGGUGAGGUAAUGGCCCACCAAGACUAUUACAGGUACGGGCUCUGAGAGGAGUAGCCCGGAGAUGGGUACUGAGACACGGACCCAGGCCCUAUGGGGCGCAGCAGGCGAGAAAACUUUGCAAUGUGCGAAAGCACGACAAGGUUAAUCCGAGUGGUUUCUGCUAAAGGAACCUUUUGUCGGUCCUAGAAACACCGAUGAAUAAGGGGUGGGCAAGUUCUGGUGUCAGCCGCCGCGGUAAAACCAGCACCUCAAGUGGUCAGGAUGAUUAUUGGGCCUAAAGCAUCCGUAGCUCGUUUUGUAAGUUUUCGGUUAAAUCCAUACGCUCAACGUAUGGGCUGCCGGGAAUACUGCAUAACUAGGAAGUGGGAGAGGUAGACGGUACUCGGUAGGAAGGGGUAAAAUCCUUUGAUCUAUUGAUGACCACCUGUGGCGAAGGCGGUCUACCAGAACACGUUCGACGGUGAGGGAUGAAAGCUGGGGGAGCAAACCGGAUUAGAUACCCGGGUAGUCCCAGCUGUAAACUAUGCAAACUCAGUGGUGCAUUGGCUUGUGGCCAAUGCAGUGCUGCAGGGAAGCCGUUAAGUUUGCCGCCUGGGAAGUACGUACGCAAGUAUGAAACUUAAAGGAAUUGGCGGGGGAGCACCACAAGGGGUGAAGCCUGCGGUUCAAUUGGAGUCAACGCCGGG